UCCUUGAUGUAAAAGGCUGGCUAGCGAUA
Molecule: non-coding RNA, 29 nt
Filed under: Mus musculus (house mouse)
Lineage: Eukaryota; Metazoa; Chordata; Mammalia; Rodentia; Muridae
Source: RNAcentral